GAUGAACGCUGGCGGCGUGCCUAAUACAUGCAAGUCGAGCGAACGGACGAGAAGCUUGCUUCUCUGAUGUUAGCGGCGGACGGGUGAGUAACACGUGGAUAACCUACCUAUAAGACUGGGAUAACUUCGGGAAACCGGGGCUAAUACCGGAUAAUAUUUUGAACCGCAUGGUUCAAAAGUGAAAGACGGUCUUGCUGUCACUUAUAGAUGGAUCCGCGCUGCAUUAGCUAGUUGGUAAGGUAACGGCUUACCAAGGCAACGAUGCAUAGCCGACCUGAGAGGGGGAUCGGCCCCACUGGAACUGAGACACGGUCCAGACUCCUACGGGAGGCAGCAGUAGGGAAUCUUCCGCAAUGGGCGAAAGCCUGACGGAGCACCGCCGCGUGAGUGAUGAAGGUCUUCGGAUCGUAAAACUCUGUUAUUAGGGAAGAACAUAUGUGUAAGUAACUGUGCACAUCUUGACGGUACCUAAUCAGAAAGCCCCGGCUAACUACGUG
Molecule: ribosomal RNA, 497 nt
Filed under: uncultured bacterium
Lineage: Bacteria
Description: partial 16S ribosomal RNA
Rfam family: Bacterial small subunit ribosomal RNA
Source: RNAcentral